UGGAAAACAGGGGUCAGUUAAUUGCAGAAACUUUUUCUGGAUUGUUGUGAAAUGUGUGUCUUCCCAUUCUCUUGCACAAGCUGUACUUCUAGCUGCCUUCUUCUGCCCACCACCCUGCCCAAGCUUUUGGAGAAUUGUUCCAUCUGUUGAUCUCCCGGAGGGGCCACCGAGCCCAAAAUGUGUGUCUUCAUUUUCACCCGACACCCGGUGGAGAGGAUGCCCUGAAGAGGCCCAUUGAAAAGAGAUCAGUUCCCAGCUCCUUAUCUGCCCAGCAAUAUCAGAGGAAGGGAUCUUAUCACACCGCAAUUACCAGGUCCAACUUCCCGCUAAUUGGCUCUCCCUGAGUUCCCUCCAGUCUGCCUGUCUGUGUCACCGGCGGACGGCAGGCAGAGAGGUUGAGAGUGGUGCCGUUUGUCCAGUGAUGCCCUGUCAAGCUGCAGGGAAAGAGAAGACAGUGGAACUGGCCCUGAAAAAGGCAGAAGGCUUGGGUCACUAUCCAGUUCUGGCCAAAGACACCAGUUCUAUGCCCUGGACGCCUUCGGGCAAUAACCCCAGACUUUUGAGGAGGAACUUGGAACACCCGUCUCUGGUGCAUCCCACUGCUACUAAGUUCUGAGAACUUGAAGGGGGGGGGAGUCGGAUUUAACUCUUUGAAUGACAGCUCCAAGGGCUCUGCCUGAGAAACUCCAGGAAUUGUCAGCCAAAGACAUAAGUCUACAGACUUCCACCCAGAAUGGCUGAUAUCAUGGGAGAUUGCAGCUCCCAGUCAAGAUGCCUCCAGCCCCCUCGGGGAUCUCGUAUAGGUCUGCUUGAUUGGCACUGCAUGCAGCAAACUGCAUUGUGGUGGAGGAGUGAGAAGCAAGGAGGCCGAAACAGAGAAAUCAUCCUGGGGAUCCGUGCCAAGGAUGGAGGGAGGAAAAGGUUUAUCACUCAUCUCUUCAUAUUCUUUAUGUUUGCAUUUUCAAAUUCUGCAAGAGGUUUCAACAGGGACACAGAAUAAGCUGAAGUAUUGUGUGGCUCCUUGAACAGGUGUUGAAAAAGGCAGAGAGGGUGAAGAUCAGAAGAAAGCCAUCUUUGAGAGAAAGAGUCAACAUGGUGCUAAUUGGACAGAGGAGAGAUAGAAAAAGACAGCAAGACAGAAAAGAAAAACAGCCCUGGACUACCGAUACCAUAAAAACCAACAAUUUGGGGACCAAAAGCAGAUUCUUCUCAAGAGCUGGCAUGGAAAAGAGACACACCCUCAAAACAUCCCCAGGGCCAGCAGGUGGAAGGGUGGCCUCUCGGUCUGACCAGAUUUGCCCCAGCUAGGAAUUUCCAAGGAAGCCGCCUUCGUGGCCCACCUCCAUCCAGGCGGCCCCGACAGAAUACAGAGGU
This 1374-nucleotide long non-coding RNA is filed under the name Pogona vitticeps (central bearded dragon). RNAcentral describes it as "lncRNA (ENSPVIG00000009005.1)". Lineage: Eukaryota; Metazoa; Chordata; Lepidosauria; Squamata; Agamidae. The record is from RNAcentral.